CUGCCCCAAGCUUUGGGAUAACCCUCGGAAACGGGGGCUAAUACCGAAUAGGACUGCUGGCCGCAUGGCUGGUGGUGGAAAGUUUUUCGGCUUGGGAUGGGCUCGCGGCCUAUCAGCUUGUUGGUGGGGUGAUGGCCUACCAAGGCGACGACGGGUAGCCGGCCUGAGAGGGCGACCGGCCACACUGGGACUGAGACACGGCCCAGACUCCUACGGGAGGCAGCAGUGGGGAAUAUUGCACAAUGGGCGGAAGCCUGAUGCAGCGACGCCGCGUGAGGGAUGACGGCCUUCGGGUUGUAAACCUCUUUCAGCAGGGACGAAGCGUAAGUGACGGUACCUGCAGAAGAAGCACCGGCCAACUACGUGCCAGCAGCCGCGGUAAGACGUAGGGUGCGAGCGUUGUCCGGAUUUAUUGGGCGUAAAGAGCUCGUAGGCGGCUUGUCGCGUCGACCGUGAAAACUUGGGGCUCAACCCCAAGCCUGCGGUCGAUACGGGCAGGCUAGAGUUCGGUAGGGGAGACUGGAAUUCCUGGUGUAGCGGU
This is a ribosomal RNA of 541 nucleotides. It matches the Rfam family "Bacterial small subunit ribosomal RNA", at positions 126 to 682 of the family's 1533-position model.